RNAcentral lists this ribosomal RNA (504 nucleotides) under uncultured bacterium. Its description in RNAcentral is "partial 16S ribosomal RNA". It matches the Rfam family "Bacterial small subunit ribosomal RNA", at positions 29 to 523 of the family's 1533-position model. The record is from RNAcentral.
AUUGAACGCUGGCGGCACGCUUAACACAUGCAAGUCGAACGGCAGCGGGGGGAGCUUGCUCCCUGCCGGCGAGUGGCGAACGGGUGAGUAACGCGUAGGGAUCUGCCUGUUAGAGGGGGAUAAGCCGUGGAAACGCGGUCUAAUACCGCAUACGCUCUAAGGAGGAAAGUAUGGGACCGAAAGGCCAUACGCUAACAGAUGAACCUGCGUUAGAUUAGCUAGUUGGUAGGGUAAAGGCCUACCAAGGCGACGAUCUAUAGCUGGUCUGAGAGGAUGGCCAGCCACACUGGAACUGAGAUACGGACCAGACUCCUACGGGAGGCAGCAGUGGGGAAUAUUGGACAAUGGGGGCAACCCUGAUCCAGCGAUGCCGCGUGUGUGAAGAAGGCCUGAGGGUUGUAAAGCACUUUAGUUGGGGAGGAAAGCCUGAGGAUGAAUAAGCCUUAGGGGAGACGUUACCCAAAGAAUAAGCACCGGCUAACUCUGUGCCAGCCACCGCCGUAA